This 492-nucleotide ribosomal RNA is filed under the name Triticum aestivum (bread wheat). Its description in RNAcentral is "partial small subunit ribosomal RNA". The record is from RNAcentral. Lineage: Eukaryota; Viridiplantae; Streptophyta; Magnoliopsida; Poales; Poaceae.
AUGGUACGAGAAAAUAGAGCCCGCUUUCAGCCCGUGCGAGAGGUACCCUCCUGCGCCAAAUUGGUUUCCAAGGCACCAAAAUUGUCUCCAAAUUGUCACCUCCCAAACCUAGAUGCCAAGCCUGCCGCCGCCGCCCGCUGCGAGAUGGCGGGGUCCAAAAGAACAACUGCACCGACACCUCUGGAGUUCCCAUGCCUGCCGACUCAGCUUGUCUGGCCGCCAACUGCUCAGCCCCUCCCACUGCUGGCCAUCCCUUCCAUCUUUGGACCCCACACCUGGUUACCACCGCACCCACCGCAGUCCAUGGCAGUCUCCUCUCUACCGUGCUGGCUCAACGGGGUACAGCAAGAAUGGCCGGUUCAUAUGAUCAAGUCCCUUGAUGGACACCUGGUGCUGGAAUUGGAGGCUCUGCACAACCUAGACCCACGACUAAGAGUAUCGAGGGCUACGAUUUGCAAGCAUGAUACAUGCUACUUGCUUCCACAUUGGUAG